UGGGGAAUAUUGGACAAUGGGCGGAAGCCUGAUCCAGCAACGCCGCGUGAGGGAUGACGGCCUUCGGGUUGUAAACCUCUUUCAGUACCGACGAAGCGCCGAUGAUGGUGGUGACGGUAGGUACAGAAGAAGCACCGGCUAACUACGUGCCAGCAGCCGCGGUAAUACGUAGGGUGCGAGCGUUGUCCGGAAUUAUUGGGCGUAAAGGGCUCGUAGGCGGUUUGUCGCGUCGGGAGUGAAAACAGCGGGCUUAACUCGUUGCUUGCUUCCGAUACGGGCAGACUAGAGGUAUGCAGGGGAGAAUGGAAUUCCUGGUGUAGCGGUGAAAUGCGCAGAUAUCAGGAGGAACACCGGUGGCGAAGGCGGUUCUCUGGGCAUUACCUGACGCUGAGGAGCGAAAGUGUGGGGAGCGAACAGGAUUAGAUACC
RNAcentral lists this ribosomal RNA (428 nucleotides) under uncultured bacterium. RNAcentral's name for it is "bacterial SSU rRNA". It matches the Rfam family "Bacterial small subunit ribosomal RNA", at positions 355 to 786 of the family's 1533-position model. The record is from RNAcentral.